UUCAAAAUUGGAAAUUUUAAUACCCUGUCCUCCAUAUCUAUACCAUGCGUUUCUUCCUCCUAUUCGGGUAUCUCGCUGGAUUAGCAGCUUUUUGAUUCACCUGGUAGAAAGUAGAAACGUUAUCAAUGGAAGAGCUAUUAUGCUAUCUUUGAUUUUUGUUUCUCUAAAAACCCUAUCCACCGCUAAUCAUCUUUAUGAGGGAACAAGAAUCGUCAUACCUUCUUCUUCUAUGCAGAAAUUAGCAAAGGUUUUAUACGGUUCCUAGCUACACUGAAGGCAACUCAUUCUCCACGAUCUGCUAUCUCCCCUCUACGAUCAUGGUAAUGUUGUGUGGCAUGUGUUUGAUUCCUUUCAUUCUUCCAUCUACGACUAUGAAUCCUGGUAUCGAUGGCGAUUUCUCUUUAUCUCUCUACAAAAAUAAUCCCCACUCUUAUAGGCUGAACAAUACAUGUAUAGAAUACACGAGAUGAUUAAGGACAUACCUGAUGAUUGGGUUGCAAAAAUUAAAAAAUCCAAUGUGUUAUUUGAAAUGUUUAAUCAUUUUUUCAAAUUGCUAUGAAAAGUUACUGUUUUGGUUAUUUGUUCAGGUAUAAUUGAUAAUGGUUUGUUGUCUUUUCA
Non-coding RNA from Lactuca sativa (garden lettuce), 618 nucleotides. NCBI's taxonomy places the organism in Eukaryota, Viridiplantae, Streptophyta, Magnoliopsida, Asterales, Asteraceae. The record is from RefSeq and is a predicted model, not a curated record.